AUACUUAUAUGGCAGAGGAGAUACUAUGAUUAUGGAGGUAGUUUUCCCAAGGCGAGGCUCAUCCAUUGCACUUGGGGUGUGCGUUAGCAAUUUCCCCAAAUGUGAGAAACUAGACUGCAUAAUUUAUGGUGGUGGGGGACUGUAUUUGUGCUUUCACCUA
This 160-nucleotide small nuclear RNA is filed under the name Propithecus coquereli (Coquerel's sifaka). RNAcentral describes it as "U1 spliceosomal RNA (ENSPCOG00000000200.1)". It matches the Rfam family "U1 spliceosomal RNA". From Rfam's summary of the family: U1 is a small nuclear RNA (snRNA) component of the spliceosome (involved in pre-mRNA splicing). Its 5' end forms complementary base pairs with the 5' splice junction, thus defining the 5' donor site of an intron. Lineage: Eukaryota; Metazoa; Chordata; Mammalia; Primates; Indriidae. The record is from Rfam by way of RNAcentral.